Molecule: microRNA, 23 nt
Filed under: Gossypium raimondii (Peruvian cotton)
Lineage: Eukaryota; Viridiplantae; Streptophyta; Magnoliopsida; Malvales; Malvaceae
Description: gra-miR7486i
Source: miRBase by way of RNAcentral
GCUGACGUGGAAGGAAAUCGCUA